Molecule: small nuclear RNA, 200 nt
Organism: Rana temporaria (common frog)
Lineage: Eukaryota; Metazoa; Chordata; Amphibia; Anura; Ranidae
Product: U2 spliceosomal RNA
Exons: 1
Source: RefSeq, a predicted model, not a curated record
UUGGCCUAUCUGCCUUUUGGCUAAGAUCUAGUGUAGUAUCUGUUCUUAUCAGUUUUCGAGAGGAAGAAAGCUGGAGUCCUUGCAAAGGAUCUUUUUACUCCAGGGUUGAUUCCGGCCUCGGAUACCAGGCUUGUCCCCGGUUGAAGGCAUGGCUCCCCCUAAGUUCUAAUGCUUUUCUGGUAGGGAUGGUGCUGCUAUGG